GACGAACGCUGGCGGCGUGCUUAACACAUGCAAGUCGAACGGAAAGGCCCUGCUUUUGUGGGUUUCUCGAUUGGCGAACGUGUGAGUAACACGUGAGUAACCUGCCCUUUACUUUGGUAUAACUUCAGGAAACUGGGGCUCAUACCGGAUAUGAUCUCCUGCUUCAUGGUGGUGGUUGGAAAGUUUCGGCGGUUGGGGAUGGACUCGCGGCUUAUCAGCUUGUUGGUGGGGUAGUGGCUUACCAAGGCUUUGACGGGUAGCCGGCCUGAGAGGGUGACCGGACACAUUGGGACUGAGAUACGGACCAGACUACUAAGGGAGGCAGCAGUGGGGAAUAUUGCAGAAUGGGCGGAAGCCUGAUGCAGCAACGCCGCGUGCGGGAUGACGGCCUUCGGGUUGUAAACCGCUUUCGCCUGUGACGAAGCGUGAGUGACGGUAAUGGGUAAAGAAGCACCGGCUAACUACGUG
Molecule: ribosomal RNA, 468 nt
Filed under: uncultured bacterium
Lineage: Bacteria
Description: partial 16S ribosomal RNA
Rfam family: Bacterial small subunit ribosomal RNA
Source: RNAcentral